GGGGCGGGUGGCAGAACCCUGAACUGUGGCUGUUUCUGGUGUCUUGCCCCCGCGGACAGAGCGUGCUGGGCCUCCGUGGUCCUCUGUGGGGUGGGUGGAGCGCAUGAGCUGGGUGCUGCUGGGCCGUGGCUGGCUCCCCAGCCCGGGGUUUGUGCAGGACUCCUCCUGAAGACAAUUUGGAACCCAGAAAGCAGCACUGAGGAGAACGGGUUUGUGCGUUUCUGGAUCCUUGGUGCUUCCCAGUCUCAGACGCUGCGCAGCUCUGAGGGGUCUCACCAGGGAGACUUGCACAGUCGGCCCCGGGUGGAGUGGGGCUGCAGCGGGUCUUGCAGGAGCUGGAAGGUGGGGGUGAGUGUCUCUCACAGGACCUUUCAAAUGGGCCCAGCAGAAUGCAUCUGUGGAAAUGGUGCCACCUAAUGCUGGGCUGUGGCCAGCAGGACCUGAAAGGCUACAGCGGGCUGUGUUUCUGCUCUCUUGAGAGUCUCUGCACAGUUUUCCUUGGUUUUUGUCUGUUUGGAGGACGCUUCCCCUUUUCUUGGCUUCCUAGCCUUCUGAGCGUUUGUUAAGUAUGACAAAACCAUGAGAAGGCAUUUUUAUGGCAUAAUUAUGUUAUCCUGGUGGCUGGGUAAAUGACCUGCAAAUGCGGGUGACUCAAGUAGCUCUGAGGGUGUUCAUAUCCAAGACAGAGGUGGGAAGGAAAUGUUCAGGCAGGCGUCAGAGGAUCUGUUCUCUGCUUUACACUGGGGCCCUGGUUCCCUGACAGUCUUCACACUCCAUCCAAAAUGGGGAUAAUGAAGUCUCACGGAUUCGGCGUCAGCUGAGAGCUGCCUCCAGCACAGUCUGUAUUUCUUGGCAUCUUCUCCCUUAUCCAGAAGUGAGGGUGAACGCCAAGUUAUUCACAGGAGUCAAGAGACCACACACAGCCCAAAGUGACAUUUGUUUCCCUGAAAUGAUUUGUGUGUGUUCACCUUAAAAUGCAACUCGGUAAAACAGAUCUAUACAACCUGGCGUUUGGCCGUGGCUUCCAGGACAGGCUGGAUGCAGAGUGAAGUCCUCUCCUCACUGUCAAUGUUUGCAGAUGUCUUCUUGUAUAAACUUCGUAUUUCUUGAGACUUUCAAUUAGGUUUUUACUUAACUGGACUUUUAAAAUUGCCAUGCACAUAACUCUACCAGUUAGAAUCUUGAGCUAACAUGGGUUUUUGGUUUUUGGUUUUUGGUUUUACUUUGAUGAAUGUUUAACAUUUGCAUGCUGGAUGUGGGGGUGGAGGUCAUUUAUCUGCUUUUCAUUGCCUUCUUGGUUAUACUUAGUGACUUUCAGGUAAGGUGUGGAAGGCGUGGUACAGGGUGAAUUGCAGGCCGCACUGUGGCGCCGUGGAGGACAGGUGCGGGCUGCAGUGGUGUGCACAGUGGAUGAGAGACAAGAGAGACUUCCAUCCUUGAGGGAAAACACAACAAUUUAAAAAAAACUGAUCGUCUAGCUUACAUGAGGUCCAACAAAUUCAGUUUGCAAAGUUUAACUUCCAAGUUAAUUUAGUAAUUUUUCCCCUAAGUCAUUAAUUUAGUAGCUUAUGUUUAAAUAUAUUUCUUUUGUCUAAAGGAGGCCAUAAAUUCUAAAAUGAAUGACUAAACAUGUAAUAAUUUAGGCAUACAGCACCUGAAGGGAAAACUGCCAGUAUGCUAAAAUAUUGGAUACAGAUGCUUUUAAAAAAUAUAAUGUAGCAUUCUU
This 1726-nucleotide long non-coding RNA is filed under the name Macaca mulatta (Rhesus monkey). RNAcentral describes it as "lncRNA (ENSMMUG00000062887.1)". Lineage: Eukaryota; Metazoa; Chordata; Mammalia; Primates; Cercopithecidae. The record is from RNAcentral.